RNAcentral lists this transfer RNA (73 nucleotides) under Chloroflexota bacterium. RNAcentral describes it as "Chloroflexi bacterium tRNA-Val". It matches the Rfam family "tRNA". From Rfam's summary of the family: Transfer RNA (tRNA) molecules are approximately 80 nucleotides in length. Their secondary structure includes four short double-helical elements and three loops (D, anti-codon, and T loops). Further hydrogen bonds mediate the characteristic L-shaped molecular structure. tRNAs have two regions of fundamental functional importance: the anti-codon, which is responsible for specific mRNA codon recognition, and the 3' end, to which the tRNAs corresponding amino acid is attached (by aminoacyl-tRNA synthetases). tRNAs cope with the degeneracy of the genetic code in two manners: having more than one tRNA (with a specific anti-codon) for a particular amino acid; and 'wobble' base-pairing, i.e. permitting non-standard base-pairing at the 3rd anti-codon position. The record is from RNAcentral. Lineage: Bacteria; Bacillati; Chloroflexota. RNAcentral also lists the same sequence under 2 other names.
GGGGCCGUAGCUCAGCGGUCAGAGCGCGCGGCUUACAUCCGCGACGUCGGAGGUUCGAAUCCUCCCGGCCCCA